RNAcentral lists this ribosomal RNA (430 nucleotides) under Bacillus cereus. RNAcentral describes it as "bacterial LSU rRNA". It matches the Rfam family "Bacterial large subunit ribosomal RNA", at positions 1 to 419 of the family's 2925-position model. The record is from RNAcentral. Lineage: Bacteria; Bacillati; Bacillota; Bacilli; Caryophanales; Bacillaceae.
GUUUGGUUAAGUUAGAAAGGGCGCACGGUGGAUGCCUUGACACUAGGAGUCGAUGAAGGACGGGACUAACGCCGAUAUGCUUCGGGGAGCUGUAAGUAAGCUUUGAUCCGAAGAUUUCCGAAUGGGGAAACCCACYAUACGUAAUGGUAUGGUAUCCUUAUCUGAAUACAUAGGGUAAGGAAGACAGACCCAGGRAACUGAAACAUCUAAGUACCUGGAGGAAGAGAAAGCAAAUGCGAUUUCCUGAGUAGCGGCGAGCGAAACGGAACAUAGCCCAAACCAAGAGGCUUGCCUCUUGGGGUUGUAGGACAUUCUAUACGGAGUUACAAAGGAACGAGGUAGACGAAGCGACCUGGAAAGGUCCGUCGUAGAGGGUAACAACCCCGUAGUCGAAACUUCGUUCUCUCUUGAAUGUAUCCUGAGUACGGCG